GUUGCUGACAUGACAACCACAUCCUGCUUCUGACAGAGGAUAACAUAUGCUACUAGACAGACCAAGUCUCUGCAGAGACUAAGAGAUGGAGAGGCCCUGGCCUAAAAGGAGGAGAGAAGAGGAGAACAAUACUACUGUCAAGAAUGGAACAACUGUUGACCAAAGACCCUCCCCUUCUGUUUCUAAGGAGUCAGAGAAGAGGUCCAAUGAAAUGGGUAGGUUAAGCUAUGUUUCUGACAUGAUGUAGCAUCGUCUUUUGGCUUCAGUGUUUUUACAUUUCAAUUUGAAACUGUAUUUUUAUGGAAAAUAUACAUCUGUGUGUAAU
Long non-coding RNA from Esox lucius (northern pike), 325 nucleotides. NCBI's taxonomy places the organism in Eukaryota, Metazoa, Chordata, Actinopteri, Esociformes, Esocidae. The record is from Ensembl.